UUUCGUUGCCGUUGAAGUGAAACUCGCCGUUUGGAUUGAUCACUUGAUCGCGGAGAAAUCCUGCUAUCGUCUCUUGGAUAGCUUUGAUUCGGUCUUGUUGUAGGACCUUUUCCCUCAGCCAUUCCGUCUUUAAUUUAAAAUAAAUAAAAAAAGGUAUUAGUUAUCUAAGUUAUUCAAUAUAAUUCAGGAGAUAAUGAAAAGAGACAUGUAACGUACUCUGAGCGUCUCUGUGGGUGUUUGAUUGACUUGUGCCAUCAUGAAUUUGCACACGUAAUAUGCACAU
This 283-nucleotide long non-coding RNA is filed under the name Sorghum bicolor (sorghum). Its description in RNAcentral is "long non-coding RNA (SBIC_LNC011208)". The record is from RNAcentral. Lineage: Eukaryota; Viridiplantae; Streptophyta; Magnoliopsida; Poales; Poaceae.